UUAAGCUAUUAGUGAAAACUUGACUUAAUUAAGGCUAUUAAGGGUCGGUAAAAUUCGUGCCAGCAACCGCGGUUAUACGAAAGACCCAAGCAGACAAUACCCGGCGUAAAGAGUGGUUUAUUUAAAUUUUACUAGAGCCAAAUACCCUCAAGACUGUUAUACGUGUUCGAGAAUAUAGAAGCCCACCCACGAAAGUAGCUUUAUAAAAUAAAUACCACUAAAGCUAAGACACAAACUGGGAUUAGAUACCCCACUAUGCUUAGCCCUAAACCUAGACAACUUUUAUCUUCACCCGACUUCCGUUGUCCGCCAGGGAACUACGAGCAUAAGCUUGAAACCCAAAGGACUUGGCGGUGCUUUAGACCCACCUAGAGGAGCCUGUUCUAUAACCGAUAACCCCCGUUAAACCUCACCCUCACUUGUUUAUCA
This 429-nucleotide ribosomal RNA is filed under the name Aspasma ubauo. Its description in RNAcentral is "mitochondrial SSU rRNA". It matches the Rfam family "Bacterial small subunit ribosomal RNA", at positions 364 to 990 of the family's 1533-position model. Lineage: Eukaryota; Metazoa; Chordata; Actinopteri; Blenniiformes; Gobiesocidae. The record is from RNAcentral.